Molecule: ribosomal RNA, 338 nt
Filed under: uncultured bacterium
Lineage: Bacteria
Description: bacterial SSU rRNA
Rfam family: Bacterial small subunit ribosomal RNA
Source: RNAcentral
AAUGAACGCUGGCGGCGCGCCUAAUACAUGCAAGUCGAGCGAGAAGACGUAGCAAUACGUUUGUAAAGCGGCGAACGGGUGAGGAAUACAUGGGUAACCUACCCUCGAGUGGGGAAUAACUAGCCGAAAGGUUAGCUAAUACCGCGUACGCUUCUUGGACUUCGGUUCAGGGAGGAAAGCGAUGCCGAGGGUAUCGCGCUCUUGGAUGGGCUCAUGUCCUAUCAGCUUGUUGGGAGGUAACGGCUCACCAAGGCUUCGACGGGUAGCCUGGUCUGAGAGGACGAUCAGCCACACUGGCACUGCGACACGGGCCAGACUCCUACGGGAGGCAGCAGUAA